GAUGAACGCUAGCGGCAGGCUUAAUACAUGCAAGUCGUGGGGCAGCAGGACUGUAGCAAUACAGUUGCUGGCGACCGGCAAACGGGUGCGGAACACGUACGCAACUUACCCUGGACUGGGGGAUAGCCCGGGGAAACCCGGAUUAAUACCCCGUAAUAUAAUGGAGUGGCAUCUCUUUAUUAUUAAAGCUCCGGCGGUUCGGGAUGGGCGUGCGGCUGAUUAGGUAGUUGGUUGAGCUAACGGCUCACCAAGCCUACGUUAAGGAACUGGUGUGAGAGCACGACCAGUCACACGGGAACUGAGACACGGGCCCGAAUCCUACGGGAGGCAGCAGUAAGGAAUAUUGGGCAAUGGAGGCAACUCUGACACAGCCAUGCCGAGUGGAGGAUGAAGGCCAUCUGGGUUGUAAACUUCUUUUAUAGGGGACGAAACCUGUGUAUUCUUACGCCGUUGACGGUACCCUAGGAAUAAGCACCGGCUAACUACGUG
Molecule: ribosomal RNA, 489 nt
Filed under: uncultured bacterium
Lineage: Bacteria
Description: partial 16S ribosomal RNA
Rfam family: Bacterial small subunit ribosomal RNA
Source: RNAcentral